CAACCCUCAAGCCUCGUUUGGUGUUGGGCCCUGCCCGCCGCGGCCGGCCCUAAAGAUAGUGGUGGCGCCGCCUGGCCCUCAGCGUAGUACAGCUCUCGCUCCAGGGUCCGGCGGCAGCCUGCCAGAACCCCCCAACUCUGU
This 141-nucleotide unclassified non-coding RNA is filed under the name uncultured Oidiodendron. Its description in RNAcentral is "sequence contains ITS2". The record is from RNAcentral. Lineage: Eukaryota; Fungi; Ascomycota; Leotiomycetes; Myxotrichaceae.